GAUGAACGCUGGCGGCGUGCCUAACACAUGCAAGUCGAACGAACCUGAUCUUCGGAAAGGGUUAGUGGCGCACGGGUGAGUAACACGUAGGUGACCUGCCCCGGAGUGGGGGAUAACUUCUCGAAAGAGAAGCUAAUACCGCAUAGGCUCGAUCAUUCAUUUGGUCGAGUAAAGUUCCGGCGCUUCGGGAGGGGCCUGCGUCCGAUUAGCUAGUUGGUGAGGUAAUGGCUCACCAAGGCUAUGAUCGGUAGCUGGUCUGAGAGGACGAUCAGCCACACUGGCACUGACACACGGGCCAGACUCCUACGGGAGGCAGCAGUGAGGAAUAUUGGUCAAUGGGCGAAAGCCUGAACCAGCAACGCCGCGUGGGGGAUGAAGGCCUUCGGGUCGUAAACCUCUUUUCUGGGAGAAGAGACAAGGACGGUAUCCCAGGAAUAAGUCUCGGCUAACUACGUG
This 456-nucleotide ribosomal RNA is filed under the name uncultured organism. RNAcentral describes it as "bacterial SSU rRNA". It matches the Rfam family "Bacterial small subunit ribosomal RNA", at positions 28 to 507 of the family's 1533-position model. The record is from RNAcentral.